Molecule: long non-coding RNA, 438 nt
Organism: Cannabis sativa
Lineage: Eukaryota; Viridiplantae; Streptophyta; Magnoliopsida; Rosales; Cannabaceae
Exons: 3
Source: RefSeq, a predicted model, not a curated record
ACUCCAGCCCUAGAAGCCAGCCUCUACCUCUCUCAAAAACUCAUUUUUUUAGCUUUGAUUUUGUGGUGAAUUGCUUGUGGAAGAAAGCUUAGUUUUGGAGAUUUGGGGAUUUGCUCUUGCUUAGAUUUGAGGAUUACCGGCACUUGGUCAAGAGCACCCGGGGAUUUGGAAUCUCCAUAUUUGCGGGACAUCAGGAAAGGGUAAAUCUAUCUCUGAUCAGCCAUGAGUAUGGGAGUUGGGCGAUGUAUGUACAUGUUCGUGCUACACUAGACCAAGUGGGUUGGGGUCUACCAGUGUUGAAACUUUUGUAACUCUAUUUUGCCGCUUAGGUCGGUUAAGGAGAAAAGACUUGUAAUAUUUUGUAAAAUAAUUUUUGGGAUCCCGAAAUAUGUAACUUUUGUUUGUAAGGUUAAAAUUAUUACAAGUUUAUUUUCAUUC